This 7442-nucleotide long non-coding RNA is filed under the name Solanum tuberosum (potato). RNAcentral's name for it is "long non-coding RNA (STUB_LNC009191)". Lineage: Eukaryota; Viridiplantae; Streptophyta; Magnoliopsida; Solanales; Solanaceae. The record is from RNAcentral.
CUCUCUCUUUAGAAAACUCUAACGUCUCUGUCUCUUCGUCUCUCUGCUUCAACUCCUUCAGCUCCUUCACUUUCCGCUUCAACUCCAUCUCCAUUGUUGCCGUCUCCAUCAUCUCAGCGUCAAGCUCCAAUUUUAAUUUCCAAAAGGUAAUUUUUGUUUUCUUUUUUCUCAAAGUUAGGGUUUCAUCCAUUUUUUUUAGUUGCUUAAGGAUUGUUCUCAUAGUUGAUUGUGUGCGACAUUGUGGUUUAAACCUGUUAUCUUAUAAACGAGAACUAGCUAGUGCUUUAGGUAUAUGAUUAUUUCACAUAUUAGUUCAAGUCGCACAACGCGUUCAAUUGUAUAAAUUAUGCUUUGUUUUAUCAGUUUAUUUUAUCUGUAUUUGCUAUGGUGUGUUGUCUGAACAUUAAUUUUAUAAGCUCAGCCUUUCAUAGAUAGCAUGGUGAUCGAAGGUGACGUUGCAUUGUUUGAUGAGAAAUACUGAAUUUGGGUAUUAAUUUUUCAAUUGCAUAGAGCUAUUUAGUGAAAAUAGAGUAUUUGUCGCUGCAAUAUUAACUUAACACAAGUUUUAUUGGCCUUCAAAUAUUGGCUGAGAAAGGACCUACCUUUACUGGCAGUCCAAAGUAAUACUAGUUAGUAAAAGUCCAUUAAAAUUCAACUUUCCUGAAAUUUUUACUCUCCCUCCAAUUUAUUUUCCCUGUAAAAUAUUUCCCCUACUGCCACAUUCACCAUACAGAACAGGGCAGACCUUUCUCCCUCAUUGUUGUUGAUGCUCAUAUGGUCUCUCUCGCCAUCAUCGAGGUUUGGAGGAUAUUAGGCCUUAUAGGAAACACUAGACAAUGUACUUGGCUUGUGGAAGUUCUAUAGUAAUUAGCCUAAAAAGAACUUUAUAACAGAAUUUUAUGCAUUGUUGGUUAGUUUGAGAGUAUGAGUUAUGGUAAGCAUAUAAUAUAGUGAGAAGGAAGUUGUGGAUAGAACAAUUUGUUUGUUCCAACUUCCAAGCUUAUAGAUCUGAGUUAAAUAUCAUGUUCAACUUCCUUCUCAUUUUGCUCAUUAAGUUUUUGGUCAGGUUGUACAUCCUUGUUUAGGAAUAUUCAUUUUGUUGAUCAAUAGCCAUUACAAUUGCCAAAGUAUCUUGGCCAGUAGUAUCUUGCUCACCACAAAAAACCUUGAUCCAUCUCAACAUUAUUAAGUUGUACUCCUAACGUUUGACCUGUAGUUCACAUCUUCCCAUCAAUAACAUGUGCGAUUUAUUAAUAGCUUACUCUAAUGCUUCAACAAUUUCUAAAUCUGAUGGUUUUAGAGCUCUAACAUGCCCUUGUUCAUCAACACUAGUCCAGCAAAUGAACUCCUUAAUUGUUGUCCAUAAUAGCCUUGCGUUGCAUCAAAUAAAGUCCUUGAAUCGCCUAUAUGUUGCACAUAGUUUUCACUAUCUUGGACCACCUACUCACUUGCAUUACCAUCCCCUUUCCACCAGUUGGUUACCGCAAAAAAUUCUUAUGCUUGUUAGAACUAGAAGCAUUUGUCUUGGCAACAUGUAGAUUCUUGCUUUUGUCUUUCUGUUUUUGUUGUAGCAUUUUUAGCAACUAUUUCAUUUGUUUCAGCAACGGCUGAAAUAAUUACAAUAAUUGCUGAAAUUACUAUUGCAACUGCUAUAAUAAUUACAACACUUAUUAUAAAAUAAUUUUAAAAAUGCAACAGUUGUUAAAUCUGCAAUUGUUUACCCUAUUUCUUUUUGUAGUUUUGAAACUAACUUUCAAAAUUAUCUAAGGAUAAUGAAUUUAUUUUUGCAUCAUCACAUUUUGAUUUUAUUGUUUUUACAUGUAGAUUGUGUAUCCAUGAUUAUUUUUAUAACUAAGUAAUCAUAUCUCCACUAUAUUUCUUGUCGUAUAACUUCUUACCAUAUCCCCUUCUCCUCAUUUUUUGGCCUUUUAUUCUAUAAAUUGUGUUAAUGACCUCUUUUCUUUUUUAAUUUUUUUUUUAUGAUUUAGUUAAUAAUUUUAUUUUUGUUUCAUGUAGGGUAGAUAAAAUGACUCCAAGACAAAAAUGAACAAUUGCUACUACUACUACCAAAAAGUAUAGAAGGAAAAUUAGUACACAAAGACAAAGAGAAGAAGAAGAAAGUACCAGAUUAGAAAAGUCCAUAGAAGAAGUUGAAAACACAAGAUUGGAAACUUCUUUAAAUGAAGAAAGAGAACGUGUAAUAAAUGCUUUUUCUACAAAUGUAGAAGGAGAUGAUAGAGGAGGAAUAACAUGAUAUACAUAUUCCAGAGAAGGAGACAUUUUCUAUUGCUGAGCCUUCUCCGGUUAGUUCUUCAAUUGAUACUUUCUUUGUGAAGCCGAUUAGGUAUGCAAAUUACAGUUUUAAGUCAAUGAUUGAUUUGUAUUCAGAUUUCAGAGGUUCUUUACUGUUAAGUCAGAAUGGUGUAAGUUUUCUGAUUUUAGUAGAACAAAAACUGGGAAAAAAAAUCGACUUUUUAUUUUCAGAAACUACUCAUUACUUGAAUAUGUGAGUAUUAGAUUUUGUUGGUGUUGUUGACAAUAUUGGUAAAAACAUUAGUGUUGUGAAAAAAUUUAUUUUAUUGUUAUGUUAUUUUCAAUAGAUGACCUAUUUGUCGUAAUAGAUGAGUUAUCUAUUGCAAAUGAGUCAUAUGUUGGAAGAAAUCAAAUCAGUAGCAAGACUUUUUUAUUUCUUUCAACAUGUGCCUUGUCGGUUGAAACAAAUAACCCAUCUAUUGCAACAGAUGGACCAUUUAUUGCAAUAGACACGUCAUCUAAUGGAAGAAAUCAAAUCAGUAGACUAUUAAUUAUUCUAUUAUAUUUAUUAAAUUUAUUGCUAUAUUUUUUUAAUGAUGCACAAAUCAAUUGUAUUUUUCUUCUUCUUAUUUGUAGAUAAAAUGACUUCUUAAAGAAAAUCAAAUGAAUGAAUCAACCUCUAGUAAAUCAACUAAAAACAGUUUAAGUACAAACACUAUUAGAAGAACUUGUUGAACAAGUCCUUUCACAAAUAGAUGAUAUGUUACAUUCUGUAGAUGUACAGAAAGAAAAUGUGGAAAGAGAUAAUGAAGAAAAAUCAGUCAGAAGUUCUAGAAAAACUAUAGAGGAGGAAGAUGAAAAUAAAAAUGAAGAAAAGAAAAUAAAUGAUAAAGAUGAUGAAAAAACGGAAAGUGAUAAAGAAGAUGAGAAAGGUGAAGAAAGUGAUGAAGUAGAUGAUAUUGAAAGUGGAAAAGAUACUGAAGAGGAAACUGAAAAGGAUGAUGAAGAGGAAAGAGGAUGACAAUAUUGAUGACGAUGUUGAGGUAUCCAUGAGCAAUCGUGAACGCAGAUCAAAAACCCGACAUGAUAUUGUCAAUUUUUUUAGUAUUAACGAGUUUCAGGUAGAGAUGUGUAUAGAUAAUCCUACAAAUUUGAUGGGUGAUUUUGUUGUAAAAUUAGUCAUAAACGUCAAAUUUGAUAAUUUUAGAAAGACAUUGAAGGAUGAAAAAUUGGAGGAUUUCUUUAAGUCCGAUUGUUUUGGACACUUUGAUGCCGGAGGAUAACAAUGUACGCUUUCAAAAUGACCAUGGUGUAUGAUCUUCUCAAGUGCAGGAUCAAAUAUAAGGGUGAUGAUGAUGAUGCUUUGAAGGAUGAAAACAAAAAAUGGAUGAGAUUUGAAUAAACUAUUGUGGCAUGUCAAUUUGUUUUGGCAUGAAAGAAUUUGUCAUAAUGACUGGACUGAGAUGUCAUCCUCAUUCUGAACCUCUUUUCAAAGUUACACCCUUAAAAAAGCUAAGAAAAACAAGACAUCUAAAUCAGUCAAGACUGAAAAGAAAGACAAAUUGUCAACCAAGACAACCACCAAAAUCAGCUAAGGCAAAGAAAAAAUAAAUAAUGAGAGUGAGUUGCUGACCAUUGUUGGACCUAGUUAUAAAGCGAAUUAUUUGUUAGCAGAUUUCAAAAACAAAAAGAUUUUGAGGAAACACAAAAAGCGAUUGUGCUUAGUUUGAUUUGUGCAUGUCAUUUAAUGGGCUAAAUGCAUCAACAAAGUUAUAAAUCUUGAAUUGUUUGUGCUUGUUCAGGAUUUGAAUGCAUUCAACAAUUACCCAUGGGGUUAUGAUGGUUAUUUCUUGACUGUCAAAUAUUUGUUGACAAAGUUAUCAUCAAAUACGAAUAAUUCAUAUGGCUUUCCUUGGGCUUUCAUAGUAAACUUCACCUGUUAUUGAAUAAUUUAUUCUAAUUUUUAGAAUAAUUAUUCAAUAACAUAAAUAAAUAAAAUACUAAAAUUAGAGGUGAAGUAUAUCAUGAAGGCCCAAGAAAAACUAUAUAAAUUUUUCGUCUUUGAUGAUAACUUUGUCAACAAAUAUUUGACAGUCAAGAAAUAACUAUCAUAAUCCUAUGGGUAAUUGUUGAAUGCAUUCAAAUACUGAACAAGCACAAACAAUUCAAGAUCUAUGACUUUAUUGAUGUCGUUAGCCCAUAAAAUGGCUUGCAAAAACCAAACUAAGCACAAUCACUUUUUGUGCUUCUUCAAAACCUUUUAUUCUUGAGAUCUGUUAACAAAUCCUUGGCUUUAUAACUGGGUCCAACAAUGGUCAACAACUCAUUCUCAUUAUUUAUUUUUCUUUGCCUUUGUGGGUUUUGGUGGUUGGCAAUUUGUCUUUCUUUCCAGCCUAUACUGAUUUAGAUGUAACUGGGUCCAACAAUGGUCAGCAACUCAUUCUCAUUAUUUAUUUUUCUUUGCCUUUGUGGGUUUUGGUGGUUGGCAAUUUGUCUUUCUUUCCAGCCUAUACUGAUUUAGAUGUAACUGGGUCCAACAAUGGUCAGCAACUCAUUCUCAUUAUUUAUUUUUCUUUGCCUUUGUGGGUUUUGGUGGUUGGCAAUUUGUCUUUCUUUCCAGCCUAUAUUGAUUUAGAUGUCUUGUUUUAUCUUGACUUCUUAAAGGGUGUAACUUUAGAAAGAGGAUGACAUCUCAAUCCAGUCACUAUAGCAAAUUCUUUCAUGCCAAAACAAACCGACAUGUCACAAUAGUUUAUCCAAAUUUCAUUCAUCUUCUUGUUCUCAUCCUUCAAAGCAUCAACAUCAUCACCCUUAUAGUUGAUCCUGCGCUUGAGAAGAUCAUACAUCAUGAUCAUUUGAAAGUGUACAUUGUUAUCCUCCGGCAACAAAGUGUCCAAAACAGCUAGACUUAAAGAAAUCCUCCAAUUUUUAUCCCUAAAUGUCUUUCUAAAAUCAUCAAAUUUGAUGUCCAUGACUGAUUUUACAACAAAAUCACCAGUCAAAUUUGUAGGGUUAUCUAUAGGCAUCUUCACCUGAAACUUGUCAAUACUAAAAGUUUUGACAACAUUAUGUCGGCCUUUUGAUCUGCGUUAACAAUCGCUUAUCGAUACCUCAAUAUUAUCAACUCUUCAUCAUCUUUUUCAGUUUCCUCUUCAGCAUAUUUCCCACUUUUAAUAUCAUCUCCUUUCUCACUUUCUUUUUUCACCGUCAUUCUACUUUCAGUUUCUUCAUUAUUUAUUUCCUUUUCUUUAUUUUCAUCUUCCUCCUCUACAGUUUUUCUAGUACUUCUAAUUGAUUUUUCUUUUCACAUUUUCAUUCUCUUUCUAUACAUCUACAGAAUGUAAUACAUUGUCUGUUUGUGAAAUGACUUAUUCAACAAGUUCUUCUAAUGAUAGUUGUAGUUUAGCUAUUUUACUUGAUUUAUCAGAGGUUGAUUCACUUGCUUUUCUUUUGAAAUUUACUUUAUCUACAAAUAAGAAAAAAAUUACAAUUGAUUUGUGCAUCAUUAAAAAAAGAUAGCAACAAAUUUAAUAAAUACAACAUAAUAUAAUAAUCAAUAGUCUACAGAUUUGAUUUCUUCCAACAGAUGAUUUGUAUAUUACAAUAGAUGAACCAUAUGUUGCAACAGAUAAGACAUUUGUUGGAAGAAAUAAAAAGAGUCUUACUGUUGAUUUGAUUUCUUCCAACAUAUGAUUCAUAUGUAGCAAUAGAUAACUCAUCUACUGCAACAAAUACUCCAUCUAUUGAAAAUAACAUAACAAUAAAAUAUUUUUUUCAUAAUAAUAAUGUUUUUAUCAAUAAUACCAACAAAAUUAAGAAUACCACACAAACUAUAUCACUAGUUAAACAACAUUGGUCUCAUAUUUUUACCAAUACACUAAGAACACCAACAAAACAAAGAAUACACAGAAUAUGAGUUCUAAAGUUUUUCAAAACAACUACUCUUUAACAACAAGCAAGUUGAAAAUUUGUAACUUUUUUUUAUCACAAAGUGAUUAUUUAACAGAUCGAAAAUUUGUAGCAACAACCAGAUAGAAAAAUUGUAAAUCUGAUGGUUUUUGAGUUCUAGCAUGCCCUUGUUCAUCAACGCUGGUCCAACAAAUAAACUCCUUCAUUGUUGUCCAUAACAGACUUGCGUUGCAUCAAAUAAAGUCCUUGAAUCACCUAUAUGUUGCACAUAGUUUUCACUAUCUUGGACCACCAUCUUACUUGCAUUACCAUUCCCUGUAGAACCUCUGUUUUCAAUCGUUGGUUAUCGCAAAAAAUUAUUAUGCUUUUUAGAACUAGGAGUGUUUGUCUCGGCAACAUGUAGAUUGUUGCUUUUGCCUUUCUGUUUUUGUUGUAGCAUUUUUAGCAACUAUUUCAUUUGUUUCAGCAACUGCAAAUAAUUACAACAAUUGCUGAAAUUUCUAUAAAAUAAUUUUAAAAAUGCAACAGCUGCUACAUCUGCAAUUGUUUACCAUAUUUAUUUUUGUAGUUUUGAAACUAACUUUCAAAAUUAUCUAAGGAUAAUGAAUUUAUUUUUGCAUUAUCACAUUUUGAUUUUAUUAUUUUUACAUGUAGAUUGUGUAUCCAUGAUUAUUUUUAUAACUAAUAAUCACAUUUCCACCAUAUUUCUUGUUGUAUAACUUCUUGUCAUAUCUCCUUCUCCUCAUUUUCUGGCUUUUUAUUCUAUAAGUUGUGUUAAUGACUUCAUUUCUUCUUCUUUUUCAUUUUAUGAUUUAGUUAAUAAUUUUAUUUUUGUUUCACGUAGCGUAUAUAAAAUGACUCCAAGAAAAAAGUGAGCAACAAUUGCUACUACUCCUACUAAAAAGUAUGAAAGGAUAAUUAGUACACAAAGACAAAAAGAAGAAUAAAGCACAUGGUAGAAAAAAUCUAUAGAAGAAGUAAGUACUAGAUUAGAGAAGUCCAUAAAAGAAGUUGAAAACACAAGAUUGGAAAAUUCUAUAGAUGAAGAAAGAGAACGUGGAAUAGAUGUUUUUUCUACAAAUGUAGAAGGAGAUGAUAGAGGAGGAACAACAUGAUAUACCUAUUUCAAUGGAGACGUUUUCAUUGCUGAGUCUUUUCAGGUUAGUCCUUCAACUGAUACUUUCUUUGUGAAGCCGAUUAAGUAUGCAAAUUAUAGUUUUGAGUCAAUGAUUGAUAUGUAUUCAAAUUUAAGAGGUUCUUUAUUCUUAAGUCGGAAUUAU